This 464-nucleotide ribosomal RNA is filed under the name uncultured bacterium. Its description in RNAcentral is "partial 16S ribosomal RNA". It matches the Rfam family "Bacterial small subunit ribosomal RNA", at positions 28 to 507 of the family's 1533-position model. The record is from RNAcentral.
GACGAACGCUGGCGGCGUGCUUAACACAUGCAAGUCGUACGGUAAGGCCCUUUCGGGGGUACACGAGUGGCGAACGGGUGAGUAACACGUGAGUAACCUGCCCACAACUUUGGGAUAACGCUAGGAAACUGGUGCUAAUACUGGAUAUGUGCUCCUGCUGCAUGGUGGGGGUUGGAAAGCUCCGGCGGUUGUGGAUGGACUCGCGGCCUAUCAGCUUGUUGGUGGGGUAGUGGCCUACCAAGGCGGCGACGGGUAGCCGGCCUGAGAGGGUGACCGGCCAAUUGGGGCCUGGGAAAGGCCCCAGCCUCCAACGGGGGGCAGCGGUGGGGAAUAUUGCACAAUGGGCGCAAGCCGGUGGCAGCACCCCGGCGUCCGGGAUGACGGCCUUCGGUUUGUAACCCGCUUUCAGCGGGGACGAAGCUUUUGUGACGGUACCUGCAGAAGAAGCACCGGCUAACUACGUG